GACCUGCGGAGGGAUCAUUACUGAGUGAGGGCCUUCGGGCUCGACCUCCAACCCUUUGUGAACACAACUUGUUGCUUCGGGGGCGACCCUGCCGUUUCGACGGCGAGCGCCCCCGGAGGCCUUCAAACACUGCAUCUUUGCGUCGGAGUUUAAGUAAAUUAAACAAAACUUUCAACAACGGAUCUCUUGGUUCUGGCAUCGAUGAAGAACGCAGCGAAAUGCGAUAAGUAAUGUGAAUUGCAGAAUUCAGUGAAUCAUCGAAUCUUUGAACGCACAUUGCGCCCCUUGGUAUUCCGAGGGGCAUGCCUGUUCGAGCGUCAUUUCACCACUCAAGCCUCGCUUGGUAUUGGGCGCCGCGGUGUUCCGCGCGCCUCAAAGUCUCCGGCUGAGCUGUCCGUCUCUAAGCGUUGUGAUUUCAUUAAUCGCUUCGGAGCGCGGGCGGUCGCGGCCGUUAAAUCUUUCACAAGGUUGACCUCGGAUCAGGUAGGGAUACCCGCUGAACUUAAGCAUAUCAAUAA
This 518-nucleotide ribosomal RNA is filed under the name Cercospora sp. PH9042A1. Its description in RNAcentral is "eukaryotic LSU rRNA". The stretch from base 167 to 320 matches the Rfam family "5.8S ribosomal RNA". Lineage: Eukaryota; Fungi; Ascomycota; Dothideomycetes; Mycosphaerellales; Mycosphaerellaceae. The record is from RNAcentral.